GAUGAACGCUGGCGGCGUGCCUAAUACAUGCAAGUCGAGCGAACGGACGAGAAGCUUGCUUUUCUGAUGUUAGCGGCGGACGGGUGAGUAACACGUGGAUAACCUACCUAUAAGACUGGGAUAACUUCGGGAAACCGGAGCUAAUACCGGAUAAUAUUUUGAACCGCAUGGUUCAUAAGUGAAAGACGGUCUUGCUGUCACUUAUAGAUGGAUCCGCGCUGCAUUAGCUAGUUGGUAAGGUAACGGCUUGCCAAGGCAACGAUGCAUAGCCGACCUGAGAGGGUGAUCGGCCACACUGGAACUGAGACACGGUCCAGACUCCUACGGGAGGCAGCAGUAGGGAAUCUUCCGCAAUGGGCGAAAGCCUGACGGAGCAACGCCGCGUGAGUGAUGAAGGUCUUCGGAUCGUAAAACUCUGUUAUUAGGGAAGAACAUAUGUGUAAGUAACUGUGCACAUCUUGACGGUACCUAAUCAGAAAGCCACGGCUAACUACGUG
RNAcentral lists this ribosomal RNA (497 nucleotides) under uncultured bacterium. RNAcentral's name for it is "partial 16S ribosomal RNA". It matches the Rfam family "Bacterial small subunit ribosomal RNA", at positions 28 to 507 of the family's 1533-position model. The record is from RNAcentral.